AACUGAAGAGUUUGAUCAUGGCUCAGAUUGAACGCUGGCGGCAGGCCUAACACAUGCAAGUCGAGCGGAUGAAGGGAGCUUGCUCCCGGAUUUAGCGGCGGACGGGUGAGUAAUGCCUAGGAAUCUGCCUGGUAGUGGGGGACAACGACUCGAAAGGGUCGCUAAUACCGCAUACGUCCUACGGGAGAAAGUGGGGGAUCUUCGGACCUCACGCUAUCAGAUGAGCCUAGGUCGGAUUAGCUUGUAGGUGAGGUAAUGGCUCACCUAGGCAACGAUCCGUAACUGGUCUGAGAGGAUGAUCAGUCACACUGGAACUGAGACACGGUCCAGACUCCUACGGGAGGCAGCAGUGGGGAAUAUUGGACAAUGGGCGAAAGCCUGAUCCAGCCAUGCCGCGUGUGUGAAGAAGGUCUUCGGAUUGUAAAGCACUUUAAGUUGGGAGGAAGGGCAUUAACCUAAUACGUUAGUGUUUUGACGUUACCGACAGAAUAAGCACCGGCUAACUUCGUGCCAGCAGCCGCGGUAAUACGAAGGGUGCAAGCGUUAAUCGGAAUUACUGGGCGUAAAGCGCGCGUAGGUGGUUUGUUAAGUUGAAUGUGAAAGCCCCGGGCUCAACCUGGGAACUGCAUCCAAAACUGGCAAGCUAGAGUAUGGCAGAGGGUGGUGGAAUUUCCUGUGUAGCGGUGAAAUGCGUAGAUAUAGGAAGGAACACCAGUGGCGAAGGCGACCACCUGGGCUAAUACUGACACUGAGGUGCGAAAGCGUGGGGAGCAAACAGGAUUAGAUACCCUGGUAGUCCACGCCGUAAACGAUGUCGACUAGCCGUUGGGAUCCUUGAGAUCUUAGUGGCGCAGCUAACGCAUUAAGUCGACCGCCUGGGGAGUACGGCCGCAAGGUUAAAACUCAAAUGAAUUGACGGGGGCCCGCACAAGCGGUGGAGCAUGUGGUUUAAUUCG
This 956-nucleotide ribosomal RNA is filed under the name Pseudomonadales bacterium. RNAcentral describes it as "bacterial SSU rRNA". It matches the Rfam family "Bacterial small subunit ribosomal RNA", at positions 1 to 953 of the family's 1533-position model. The record is from RNAcentral. Lineage: Bacteria; Pseudomonadati; Pseudomonadota; Gammaproteobacteria; Pseudomonadales.